This 254-nucleotide ribosomal RNA is filed under the name uncultured bacterium. RNAcentral's name for it is "partial 16S ribosomal RNA". It matches the Rfam family "Bacterial small subunit ribosomal RNA", at positions 524 to 776 of the family's 1533-position model. The record is from RNAcentral.
UACGUAGGGUGCAAGCGUUAUCCGGAAUUAUUGGGCGUAAAGAGCUCGUAGGCGGUUUGUCGCGUCUGCUGUGAAAACUGGAGGCUCAACCUCCGGCCUGCAGUGGGUACGGGCAGACUAGAGUGCGGUAGGGGGAGAUUGGAAUUCCUGGUGUAGCGGUGGAAUGCGCAGAUAUCAGGAGGAACACCGAUGGCGAAGGCAGAUCUCUGGGCCGUAACUGACGCUGAGGAGCGAAAGCAUGGGGAGCGAACAGG